This 773-nucleotide ribosomal RNA is filed under the name uncultured Streptococcus sp. Its description in RNAcentral is "bacterial SSU rRNA". It matches the Rfam family "Bacterial small subunit ribosomal RNA", at positions 28 to 776 of the family's 1533-position model. Lineage: Bacteria; Bacillati; Bacillota; Bacilli; Lactobacillales; Streptococcaceae. The record is from RNAcentral.
GACGAACGCUGGCGGCGUGCCUAAUACAUGCAAGUAGAACGCACAGGAUGCACCGUAGUUUACUACACCGUAUCCUGUGAGUUGCGAACGGGUGAGUAACGCGUAGGUAACCUGCCUGGUAGCGGGGGAUAACUAUUGGAAACGAUAGCUAAUACCGCAUAAGAACAUUUACUGCAUGGUAGAUGUUUAAAAGGUGCAAGAGCAUCACUACCAGAUGGACCUGCGUUGUAUUAGCUAGUUGGUGAGGUAACGGCUCACCAAGGCAACGAUACAUAGCCGACCUGAGAGGGUGAUCGGCCACACUGGGACUGAGACACGGCCCAGACUCCUACGGGAGGCAGCAGUAGGGAAUCUUCGGCAAUGGGGGGAACCCUGACCGAGCAACGCCGCGUGAGUGAAGAAGGUUUUCGGAUCGUAAAGCUCUGUUGUUAAGGAAGAACGUGUGUGAGAGUGGAAAGUUCACACAGUGACGGUACUUAACCAGAAAGGGACGGCUAACUACGUGCCAGCAGCCGCGGUAAUACGUAGGUCCCGAGCGUUGUCCGGAUUUAUUGGGCGUAAAGCGAGCGCAGGCGGUUAGAUAAGUCUGAAGUGAAAGGCAGUGGCUCAACCAUUGUAGGCUUUGGAAACUGUUUAACUUGAGUGCAGAAGGGGAGAGUGGAAUUCCAUGUGUAGCGGUGAAAUGCGUAGAUAUAUGGAGGAACACCGGUGGCGAAAGCGGCUCUCUGGUCUGUAACUGACGCNGAGGCUCGAAAGCGUGGGGAGCGAACAGG